This 492-nucleotide ribosomal RNA is filed under the name uncultured bacterium. RNAcentral's name for it is "partial 16S ribosomal RNA". It matches the Rfam family "Bacterial small subunit ribosomal RNA", at positions 29 to 507 of the family's 1533-position model. The record is from RNAcentral.
AGUGAACGCUGGCGGUAGGCCUAACACAUGCCAGUCGAACGGCAGCACAGUAAGAGCUUGCUCUUACGGGUGGCGAGUGGCGGACGGGUGAGGAAUACAUCGGAAUCUACUUUUUCGUGGGGGAUAACGUAGGGAAACUUACGCUAAUACCGCAUACGACCUACGGGUGAAAGCAGGGGAUCUUCGGACCUUGUGCGAUUGAAUGAGCCGAUGUCGGAUUAGCUAGUUGGCGGGGUAAAGGCCCACCAAGGCGACGAUCCGUAGCUGGUCUGAGAGGAUGAUCAGCCACACUGGAACUGAGACACGGUCCAGACUCCUACGGGAGGCAGCAGUGGGGAAUAUUGGACAAUGGGCGCAAGCCUGAUCCAGCCAUACCGCGUGGGUGAAGAAGGCCUUCGGGUUGUAAAGCCCUUUUGUUGGGAAAGAAAAGCAGCAGGUUAAUACCCCGCUGUUCUGACGGUACCCAAAGAAUAAGCACCGGCUAACUUCGUG